This 253-nucleotide ribosomal RNA is filed under the name uncultured bacterium. RNAcentral's name for it is "partial 16S ribosomal RNA". It matches the Rfam family "Bacterial small subunit ribosomal RNA", at positions 524 to 776 of the family's 1533-position model. The record is from RNAcentral.
GACGUAGGGCGCGAGCGUUGUCCGGAUUUAUUGGGCGUAAAGAGCUCGUAGGCGGCUUGUCGCGUCGUCCGUGAAAACCUGCAGCUCAACUGCAGGCUUGCGGUCGAUACGGGCAGGCUGGAGUUCGGUAGGGGAGACUGGAAUUCCUGGUGUAGCGGUGAAAUGCGUAGAUAUCUGGAGGAAUACCGGUGGCGAAGGCGGCAUCCUGGACCGGCAUUGACGCUGAGGAGCGAAAGCCAGGGGAGCAAACGGG